AACGAACGCUGGCGGCAGGCCUAACACAUGCAGGUCGAACGUGAAGCCACCUUCGGGUGGUGGAAAGUGGCAGACGGGUGAGUAACGCGUGGGAACGUGCCUUUCGGUUCGGGAUAACCCAGGGAAACUUGGGCUAAUACCGGAUACGCCCUCCGGGGGAAAGAUUCAUUGCCGAAAGAUCGGCCCGCGUCGGAUUAGCUAGUUGGUGGGGUAAAAGCCUACCAAGGCGACGAUCCGUAGCUGGUCUGAGAGGAUGACCAGCCACACUGGGACUGAGACACGGCCCAGCCUCCUACGGGAGGCAGCAGUGGGGAAUAUUGGACAAUGGGCGAAAGCCUGAUCAAGCAAUGCCGCGUGAGUGAUGAAGGCCUUAGGGUUGUAAAGCGCUUUUACCCGGGAUGAUAAUGACAGUACCGGGAGAAUAAGCUCCGGCUAACUCCGUGCCAGCAGCCGCCGUAA
This 459-nucleotide ribosomal RNA is filed under the name uncultured bacterium. RNAcentral's name for it is "partial 16S ribosomal RNA". It matches the Rfam family "Bacterial small subunit ribosomal RNA", at positions 29 to 523 of the family's 1533-position model. The record is from RNAcentral.